Molecule: transfer RNA, 71 nt
Filed under: Stegodyphus mimosarum
Lineage: Eukaryota; Metazoa; Arthropoda; Arachnida; Araneae; Eresidae
Rfam family: tRNA
About the family: Transfer RNA (tRNA) molecules are approximately 80 nucleotides in length. Their secondary structure includes four short double-helical elements and three loops (D, anti-codon, and T loops).
Source: Rfam by way of RNAcentral
ACUUUCGUGGUGUAAUGGUAGCACACUCGACGCGUAUUCGAGAGGUCCAGGUUCGAGUCCUGACGAGGACA